AAAAAUCAACAAUGCAUUCCUUCAGCACAAACAACUAGUUGAAAUGAGGACUACCCAUGUGUGGCUUGUUGCCCUAGUCUUUCUUGUGCUAGCAUCAGGUACUCAUUUGUUCAUGUAACACAUUUGUGCAUAAUCUCUCCCAACAAAUAAUGGUCAUGUUGUGAUUGUCCCUUUUCUUCAUCACGAGAUUUUGCAGAUGUGGUAGUGGAGGCAACAAGAGAUAGCAUUAAAUUUGUCACAUGUGUGUCAAAACAAUUGACAAAUCCACCAUGUGAUAACAAAACUUGCGAAGACGCAUGCUCCAAACGUACAGGGCAAUACAAAUCUGGCGAGUGUGCUGCCGAGGGGUGCAAGUGCACAUUUUGCGUAGACCAUCCUCCAGCCAUCCACAGUAAUAAAAAAAUGGGUACUAACUAGCUAAGAUUGGAUAGUGUGUUGAGCGAAUAAGAGAAAAAAUCACAAAUGGUGUAGCAGCAAGGUUGUUCACACGUAUAAGCCAUAUGAAGAGGGAUAAGUAGUCUUGCUUCUUGAAUUAUCUUGCAUUAAGAAGUGGUGUCUAAAAUUUGAAGAAGUGGUCUAUAAAAUGUGCGUGGUUGAUUAUUUUCAUUGUUUUUAUUAAUUGUGAUGUGAAUUCAUGUAGACUGUGAAUGAGAACCAAUUUUUUUCCUUUGGACUUCCUAGUGCAAAGACAAAUUUCAAA
Molecule: long non-coding RNA, 700 nt
Filed under: Triticum aestivum (bread wheat)
Lineage: Eukaryota; Viridiplantae; Streptophyta; Magnoliopsida; Poales; Poaceae
Description: long non-coding RNA (TAES_LNC028643)
Source: RNAcentral